GAUGAACGCUAGCGGCAGGCUUAAUACAUGCAAGUCGAACGGUAACAGGUCUUCGGACGCUGACGAGUGGCGCACGGGUGAGGAACACGUACACAAUCUACCUUAUACUGGAGAAUAGCCCCGGGAGACUGGGAUUAAUACUCCAUAGUCUUUAAUGAUCACAUGAGAAAUAAAGUAAAGCUUCGGCGGUAUAAGAUGAGUGUGCGUCCCAUUAGAUUGUUGGUGAGGUAACGGCUCACCAAGUCGACGAUGGGUAGCUGGCGUGAGAGCGCGACCAGCCACACUGGCACUGAGACACGGGCCAGACUCCUACGGGAGGCAGCAGUAGGGAAUAUUGGUCAAUGGACGAAAGUCUGAACCAGCCAUGCCGCGUGGAGGAUGACUGCCCUCUGGGUUGUAAACUCCUUUUAUAUGGGAAGAAACCUCUGGAUUCACUCCAGAGCUGACGGUAUCAUAUGAAUAAGCACCGGCUAACUCCG
Molecule: ribosomal RNA, 479 nt
Filed under: uncultured bacterium
Lineage: Bacteria
Description: bacterial SSU rRNA
Rfam family: Bacterial small subunit ribosomal RNA
Source: RNAcentral